GGGCCCCUUUAAGGCUGUUGCAAUGCUUUAAGAGGCUAACACAGAAGGGUAAAGCUUUCUUUACCCUUUGGGUAAAACCCAAAGAAGAGAUUGUAAAACUUCUCUUUGGAUCCUGUCUGAAGUCACAGCU
This is a small nucleolar RNA of Chlorocebus sabaeus (green monkey), 130 nucleotides long. The record is from Ensembl. NCBI's taxonomy places the organism in Eukaryota, Metazoa, Chordata, Mammalia, Primates, Cercopithecidae.